This 92-nucleotide small nucleolar RNA is filed under the name Nakaseomyces glabratus. RNAcentral describes it as "Candida glabrata Small nucleolar RNA snR78". It matches the Rfam family "Small nucleolar RNA snR78". Lineage: Eukaryota; Fungi; Ascomycota; Saccharomycetes; Saccharomycetales; Saccharomycetaceae. RNAcentral also lists the same sequence under 1 other name. The record is from Rfam by way of RNAcentral.
UUCGUUGAUGACUCUUGAUAAACAAUACAAACUAGAGUUUCUGAACAAUCAUUUAGUAGAAUUGUUAGUGAUUAGGACAUAUCUUACUGAGG